GUCCACGCCCUAAACUAUGUCAACUGGGUGUUGGGGAAGCGAUUCCUCAGUACCGCAGCUAACGCGUGAAGUUGACCGCCUGGGGAGUACGGCCGCAAGGUUAAAACUCAAAGGAAUUGACGGGGACCCGCACAAGCGGUGGAUGAUGUGGAUUAAUUCGAUGCAACGCGAACAACCUUACCUACCCUUGACAUGUGCCGAAGGCCGCUGAGAGGUGGUUGUGCCCGAAAGGGAACGGCAACACAGGUGCUGCAUGGCUGUCGU
RNAcentral lists this ribosomal RNA (264 nucleotides) under uncultured bacterium. Its description in RNAcentral is "partial 16S ribosomal RNA". It matches the Rfam family "Bacterial small subunit ribosomal RNA", at positions 793 to 1055 of the family's 1533-position model. The record is from RNAcentral.